UAACCCUAACACCAGUCAUUAGAACUUCAAAACAGAAGAAAAAGGGUAAAACUAUCGAAUCUUCUUCAUCUAAUAUAAUAAAAAAAGAAGACACCUUUUUGAGUACAGUGAAGAAGCUUCAGAAAAGUCAAAGGUCUCAGGAAGAAGAUGAGGUAGAGAUUUUAUCCAAGGAUGGUUAUAGAACCAGCAACAAGGGAAAAUUGAAUCUAAAUGGCCAAGAGAUAAACUCUUGUUCUAAUGGAACUUCAAAACAGAAGAAAAAGGGUAAAACUAUCGAAUCUUCUUCAUCUAAUAUAAUAAAAAAAGAAGACACUUUUUUGAGUACAGUGAAGAGGCUUCAGAAAAGUCAAAUGUCUCAGGAAGAAGAUGAGGUAGAGAUUUUAUCCAAGGAUGGUUAUAGAACCAGCAACAAGGGAAAAUUGAAUCUAAGUGGCCAAGAGAUAAACUCUUGUUCUAAUGGA
This 461-nucleotide long non-coding RNA is filed under the name Zostera marina. Its description in RNAcentral is "long non-coding RNA (ZMAR_LNC006036)". The record is from RNAcentral. Lineage: Eukaryota; Viridiplantae; Streptophyta; Magnoliopsida; Alismatales; Zosteraceae.